UCGCUACUACCGAUGAAUGGCUAGUGAGGCUUGGGAUUGGCUUCGGGAGCGGCAACGGCACCUGUUGCUGAGAACUUGGUCAAACUUGGUCAUUUAGAGGAAGUAAAAGUCGUAACAAGGUUUCCGUAGGUGAACCUGCGGAAGGAUCAUUAACGAGUAACUGAACGGGUUGUAGCUGGCCUUUCGGGGCAUGUGCACACCUGGCUCAUCCACUCUUCAACCUCUGUGCACUUGUUGUAGGUCGGUAGAAGAGCGAGCAUCUAAUGCUUGCUUGGAAGCCUUCCUAUGUUUUACUACAAACGCUUCAGUUUAAGAAUGUUUACCUGCGUAUAACGCAUUUAUAUACAACUUUCAGCAACGGAUCUCUUGGCUCUCGCAUCGAUGAAGAACGCAGCGAAAUGCGAUAAGUAAUGUGAAUUGCAGAAUUCAGUGAAUCAUCGAAUCUUUGAACGCACCUUGCGCUCCCUGGUAUUCCGGGGAGCAUGCCUGUUUGAGUGUCAUGGUAUUCUCAACCUUCAUAACUUUUGUUAUCGAAGGCUUGGACUUGGAGGUUGUGCUGGCUUCUAGUUAAGUCGGCUCCUCUUAAAUGUAUUAGCGUGAGUGUAACGGAUCGCUUCGGUGUGAUAAUUAUCUGCGCCGUGGUCGUGAAGUAACAUAAGCUUGCGCUUCUAACCGUCCUUCAGUUGGACAAUUACUUUGACAUCUGACCUCAAAUCAGGUAGGACUACCCGCUGAACUUAAGCAUAUCAAUAAGCGGAGGAAAAGAAACUAACAAGGAUUCCCCUAGUAACUGCGAGUGAAGCGGGAAAAGCUCAAAUUUAAAAUCUGGCAGUCUUUGGCUGUCCGAGUUGUAAUCUGGAGAAGCGUCUUCCGCGCUGGACCGUGUACAAGUCUCCUGGAACGGAGCGUCAUAGAGGGUGAGAAUCCCGUCUUUGACACGGACUACCAGUGCUCUGUGAUGCGCUCUCAAAGAGUCGAGUUGUUGGGAAAUGCA
Molecule: ribosomal RNA, 994 nt
Filed under: Corticiaceae sp. 386
Lineage: Eukaryota; Fungi; Basidiomycota; Agaricomycetes; Corticiales; Corticiaceae
Description: eukaryotic LSU rRNA
Rfam family: Eukaryotic large subunit ribosomal RNA (bases 705-994)
Source: RNAcentral